UACGAAGGGUGCAAACGUUGCUCGGAAUCAUUGGGCGUAAAGCGCACGUAGGCGGCUUCGCAAGUCGGAUGUGAAAUCCCUCGGCUCAACCGAGGACGUGCAUCCGAAACUGCGGAGCUUGAGUACUGAAGAGGAUCGCGGAAUUCCCGGUGUAGAGGUGAAAUUCGUAGAUAUCGGGAGGAACGCCAGUGGCGAAGGCGGCGAUCUGGGCAGUUACUGACGCUGAGGUGCGAAAGCGUGGGGAGCAAACAGG
This 253-nucleotide ribosomal RNA is filed under the name uncultured bacterium. RNAcentral's name for it is "partial 16S ribosomal RNA". It matches the Rfam family "Bacterial small subunit ribosomal RNA", at positions 524 to 776 of the family's 1533-position model. The record is from RNAcentral.